UAUCUUCAACCUUCUUGGUUUCUUGAUCAAGAAGGCUUGGAAUUUGGAGGCUUUUGCUGGCUUUCCUCUCAAAGCCAGCUCCUCUUAAAUCAAUUAGUAGGGUCUACUUUGCUGAUCCUUGACGUGAUAAGAUUAUUUUCUACGUCUUGGGCUUUUUGCAAACCUGCUUCUAACUGUCUCGUCAGAGACUGAUAUAUAAAC
RNAcentral lists this unclassified non-coding RNA (201 nucleotides) under uncultured Russula. RNAcentral's name for it is "sequence contains ITS2". Lineage: Eukaryota; Fungi; Basidiomycota; Agaricomycetes; Russulales; Russulaceae. The record is from RNAcentral.